UCUCAACCAGUGAGUCCCCAGGUGUUUUGGCCUACAACUCCCAGAAAUCCCAGCCUGUCAGGAUUUCUGGGAGUUGAAGGCCAAAACAUCUAGGGACCCACAGGUUGAGAACCACUGCUUUAGGCAGUUAAAAGAAACUUGGUUAAUGUUUGAGUUAAACACAGCAUGACAGCAACAUGUACUUUGGAUGAUCUGGAAAAUAAUCCCUGCUUUAUACAACCUUGCAGCAAAAUAAUAGGGAUAAUGAAAACGAUCCCAACAAUAGAAAGCUAGAUGAGAUCUGUGUUGAUCCCUUCAUCACUACUGGAAUAUGUGAAAGGCUAAGAGGUGUAUUUUUUAACAUUAAAAGCAAGAUUACAUACAUUUGUCUGUAAAUGAAGUUAAUUGGGAAAUGGUGAUCUUUAUGUAAUAUAGAUUCCAUUAUUUAGAGUGGAAUUUUCUUUUAAAUAACUGUUGGCCCUGGGUCCCUCCAAAGUUGAAGUACAGUUAUGGUGAUAUAAAAUGCUUUGCUGUGUAAAUAUUAGUCUUGUCCACAGAUUCAGAUUGAUUGGUUCUCUUUGGCCAAUCCGGCUUGGUCGGAUGGCCAUAAUGGUAAGGACGCAGCCAUCACAUUUUUUCAUCCAUUACAGGACCACGUGGCAGCCGAUCACAGCUCCUCCUUCCUUAUUCGGGGAGGCAUACACAAACACACAGAUCUGCAAUGGCCUUAACAAAACACAUUUUGAGUUGCAUUAUAUUGCUUUUUCUAACAAAGAAAAAGAAGGCAGCAAUAUCCUGGAGAAAGAAAGGAGAGAGAAAGUGAGAAAAUCACAAUGGGAUAAUUCAGUUGGUGUGUAGCCUACUAUCAAUAUGACAAUACUAUUACUGUAUAUGCAUGUAUUUGACUAAGUUUCUGUGUAUGUGUGUGUUAAGGGGAAAACACCUGGUCAAUUACAAUUCAUAGUUGGGUAAUUGGAGCAAUCAAGAAGAACAAGCUUGAACCACUCCCUGAAUGGGGUAUACUUGGGGGAAUGUUUGUAAUGUUUUUGGGACUUACCGAAUCCUGGCUGAGAACCUACUAUGCUUGUCUCCUUGCACCAUUGAAGAAAUCUCCAAGAAGAUGCAUGAAUUUAAUGCAAAGAACUUUAUGUGAGUUUUGUUGCUUCAAAGGGAGUGAGUUAUUUUGUAGCUGGAGGUUCUGAGUUUUUGAAGCUGCUUGUUUAAUUUUCUCCUUGACUCUGCUACUUAAGAGUAAAUUUUGAUUUUUCCAUUUUCCUGGAUUGUUUCUUUUGCUCAUUGUGGAUGCACAAAGGGGCUGGAUAAGCCUGACAAGACUUGCACGCAGUUUGUUUUUCAACAAACCCGUAAAAAAUACCCCCACAGGGGAAGGAUAAACUUUCUCAAUUUUCCUCACUAUUCAAUCUGGGUACAGAAAACAUAUGGGGAGUUGGGGGUCCAUCUUUAUUUUCCUGGUAAUCAGUGGUGUGGAGUGGGGAUGCAUUCCAGCUACUCUUGGCCACCCAGAGAUAAAGGAGGACUUUGAGAUAUCAAUGAAGGUGUUCCUUUACUCCUGGGAAAUCAAAAGUAACCAUGUUAGCUUACCUGGGGUUUCCAUUUCUUAAAUACCCUAUAGCAGGCAUGGGCAAACCAAGGCCCAGGGGCCAGAUGUGGCCCUCUGGGUGCUUGCCUCAGGCCCUCCUCAUUUUCCCUGCAU
This is a long non-coding RNA of Anolis carolinensis (green anole), 1693 nucleotides long. The record is from Ensembl. Lineage: Eukaryota; Metazoa; Chordata; Lepidosauria; Squamata; Anolidae.